CUCUAUGGCCACACCACUCUGAAUAUACUUGAUCUCAUCUGAUUUUGAAAGAUAAGCAACGUCAUUUCUGCUUAGCACUUCUAUGGAAGACUGGCUUGGGAUAGAUGAAUUGUCCUCAAGU
This 121-nucleotide ribosomal RNA is filed under the name Cavia porcellus (domestic guinea pig). Lineage: Eukaryota; Metazoa; Chordata; Mammalia; Rodentia; Caviidae. The record is from RNAcentral.